GAUGAACGCUGGCGGCGUGCCUAAUACAUGCAAGUCGAGCGAACAGAUCAGGAGCUUGCUCCUCUGACGUUAGCGGCGGACGGGUGAGUAACACGUGGAUAACCUACCUAUAAGACUGUGAUAACUUCGGGAAACCGGAGCUACUACCGGAUAAUAUAUUGAACUGCAUGGUUCAAUAGUGUAAGACGGUUUUGCUGUCACUUAUAGAUGGAUCCGCGCCGCAUUAGCUAGUUGGUAAGGUAACGGCUUACCAAGGCAACGAUGCGUAGCCGACCUGAGAGGGAGAUCGGGCACACUGGAACUGAGACACGGUCCAGACUCCUACGGGAGGCAGCAGUAGGGAAUCUUCCGCAAUGGGCGAAAGCCUGACGGAGCAACGCCGCGUGAGUGAUGAAGGUCUUCGGAUCGUAAAACUCUGUUAUUAGGGAAGAACAAAUGUGUAAGUAACUAUGCACGUCUUGACGGUACCUAAUCAGAAAGCCACGGCUAACUACGUG
RNAcentral lists this ribosomal RNA (497 nucleotides) under uncultured bacterium. Its description in RNAcentral is "partial 16S ribosomal RNA". It matches the Rfam family "Bacterial small subunit ribosomal RNA", at positions 28 to 507 of the family's 1533-position model. The record is from RNAcentral.